Lycium barbarum (goji berry) is the source of this 1519-nucleotide long non-coding RNA. RefSeq lists it as uncharacterized. The record is from RefSeq and is a predicted model, not a curated record. NCBI's taxonomy places the organism in Eukaryota, Viridiplantae, Streptophyta, Magnoliopsida, Solanales, Solanaceae. The transcript has 2 exons.
UUUUAAUUCUGACAAGGUUUACUCCCUAAAUCAUUUCCUUCUUGAUAUUAAUUUUAUUCUUCAAGUAAUUUCUUCGUGGGGUUUCUCUAUAUAGGUUUUCUGUUUCUAUUUCAGUUUACGGUUUGUAUCUAUUUUUUCGGUAAAUAUUUUCUUACUUUAGAGUUUUAUUUUCUUAAUACCAGCAUCUUCAAAAAAUGUUGGGAAGCUUGACGUUGUAUUUCUCUCUAAGUUCGAGUCUCAUACUCACUCUUUUUCUUCCUUUUGAAAAAUUCUUUAAUUGAAAUAGUUAUAUGACCAGUUGAAAAUUUUAUUUUGCAUUAGAAAAGAACCAAAAAGUUUCUUAUAUUACGUGACAAAACAGAAAGAAAAUGUUAACUUUACUGGCUAGAUUUCAUACCUUAACAGAAGUAUAACAACCAAUGAACAUGAUCCUGCUAUAUUUUAAUGUUGAGGUAGGAAAGUUUAUGUGUUUCUUUUGAAGAUGUCAAGUUUUAUGACUAGUUUUUUCAUUGCUUAGCUGAAAUAUAUCAUGCAAAACUACUAAAAGUUCAAACAUUAUGCAUAAAUUCAAAUGUAGCAAAAGAGUUGUUAGCAAAAAAUCUUGGAGUUGCAACUUUUGCUUAUUGUGUAUGUGUGCUGAACACAUUAUUCAGUUCGCGUCAGCGUUCUAAUUUAACUAUGACAAGUAAUUCCUUACCUUUAGUUCUGAUAUCACUUAAACCCUUACACUUGGGAAUUUGUCCAACAGGAAAAGGAAGAGGAAAGACUGAAAUUGUGCAAGAGUUACUAAGUGUGUUUUCUACUAUGCUAAAGGCUGCUGAAAUAAUAAAAUCAACAUCCGAGAUAGAGAUCUCAACAUCUGAAGAAGCAGUUAAGCACCUCAAAAACAGAUUGACUUCACUAGGAAGAGAACUACAAUAUGCCAAAUUUAAGGUAACAAUAAUCCAUAAUAUUUCGAUCAUUUUUGCUUCAUCAAAAGCCUCAAGUGCUUAUAGUGAAGUCUUUUAUAGUUGUCUGUUGGGGAUCUUUUUUUAAUGAAGAGACAAUUUUGUGAUACGAAUUGUGUAAAGUGGAUAACUUUUAAAAGGAAAGUGUAAAAUGGAAGACUUUGAGCAGGAAUUGUGUAGAAUUGAAGACUUUUAGUAGAAAGUGUUUUGGUUCUAAAGAAUAAAAUCUUGUGGAGAAAUUUGGAGAGGAGAACAUUAAACUGGGAAAUUUGGAACUCUUUCAGUUAAAUUUUGUGUAGGAACCAUUUAGCUAGAAAUCUUUUGGUAAUGUCUUGUGCAUGUGUUGAUUUCUCUGGAGGUAUCCUAAUUCCUUCAGCUAUGCACGUUAAAACUGAAUUUGAAUUGUUGAUGCAGGCAUGAGGAACGCCAAAAUAGGUAGUCCUAAUUGUUUGUGUAGUCAUUGCAAUGUGUUUCUACUAUCCGCUGGGUGUUUCCUUUGCUGCAGAGGACAAUGAAAGGAUAUUCUCAAGGAGAUAGAUAAUAAAUGCCAAUCAUAAUCUUAUUUAUGCCUU